This 69-nucleotide transfer RNA is filed under the name Narcetes erimelas. Its description in RNAcentral is "tRNA-Pro". It matches the Rfam family "tRNA". From Rfam's summary of the family: Transfer RNA (tRNA) molecules are approximately 80 nucleotides in length. Their secondary structure includes four short double-helical elements and three loops (D, anti-codon, and T loops). Lineage: Eukaryota; Metazoa; Chordata; Actinopteri; Alepocephaliformes; Alepocephalidae. The record is from RNAcentral.
CAGAGAGUAGUUAAACUUAGAAUCCUAGCUUUGGGAGUUAGGGGUGGGAGUUAAAAUCUCCCCUCUUUG